This 423-nucleotide ribosomal RNA is filed under the name uncultured Glomeromycotina. Its description in RNAcentral is "SSU rRNA". It matches the Rfam family "Eukaryotic small subunit ribosomal RNA", at positions 671 to 1092 of the family's 1831-position model. Lineage: Eukaryota; Fungi; Glomeromycota. The record is from RNAcentral.
CGGUACGUACUGGCAUUGUUGGUUUCUCCCUUCUGACGAACCAUGAUGUCAUUUAUUUGGUGUUGUGGGGAAUCAGGACUGUUACUUUGAAAAAAUUAGAGUGUUUAAAGCAGGCUCACGCUUGAAUUCAUUAGCAUGGAAUAAUGAAAUAGGACGUUUGAUUCUAUUUUGUUGGUUUCUAGGAUCGACGUAAUGACUAAUAGGGAUAGUUGGGGGCAUUAGUAUUCAAUUGUCAGAGGUGAAAUUCUUGGAUUUAUUGAAGACUAACUACUGCGAAAGCAUUUGCCAAGGAUGUUUUCAUUAAUCAAGAACGAAAGUUAGGGGAUCGAAGACGAUCAGAUACCGUCGUAGUCUUAACCAUAAACUAUGCCGACUAGGGAUCGGAUGAUGGUAAUUUUUUAAUGACUCAUUCGGCGCCUUACG